Long non-coding RNA from Myotis davidii, 2248 nucleotides. RefSeq lists it as uncharacterized. The record is from RefSeq and is a predicted model, not a curated record. Lineage: Eukaryota; Metazoa; Chordata; Mammalia; Chiroptera; Vespertilionidae. The transcript is spliced from 2 exons.
UCUGACAGGGAUGGGCACCCAUGCCUGCUUCUUCCCAACACCCUCCUGGACGCCCCACUUCCUUCUCCUCCUCAUUUCACUAAUUGGCCUGUUACGGACAAGUUGGUCUCAGGGAGAAUUCUGUCCUCACAUGCCCUCUCUCAGCUGGCUUUGGGGUUUAACACCGAUGGGAAAUCAAAACUCUUGAGCCCCCAUAUUGACUUUCCUCUCUCCCUGCCAAAUGACUGGGGAAGCAUGACUCAGGGCAGAAAAAGGAAGUCAUUUGGCCAGCCCUUUCCCUAGGCCAAAAUGCCACUUGGGUAUCAUUUAGGGGCACCUCCAUGGGAUUCUAUAUUUAGGGGCACCUGUGUAUCAAGGAGAGGGCCCCGAUGAGGACCAGCAGCACCUGGUUCUGUCAGUAUUUGGCAGAGUGAUCUUGAGAAGCCAGUUCUUUGACCCUCGGCUUCUUUCUCCGUAUAAUGGGAUAAUAAAACGGGCCCUGCUCGCACUCGGUUGCUGGGAGAAUGAAGGAGGGUGAAGGCCUGGUAAACUUAGAUUAUCCUAGUGGUGGGAGGCUACUAAGUAAGGACCGGGCCCUUUACAACUUCAUGCACUGUCUUCCAACCCCUGCUGUCCCACAGAUGCUGGGGGAGGUAUAUGAGGCGACAGUGGAUCUAAAGCUCUCUUCAUCCAGACCCUCUGCUCCAGCCACCCCAUCUUCUAAACUGUUUCGCACCCCUACUUACCUGGUUCCCUCAUUCCUAGAAUGUCUUCUCAGCACAGAAUCGCCCUGCCCUGCCCCAGGGGUCCCCAGCUUUCUCCUUAAACCCUGAGCACUACCUGUAAUGCAGUCACAGAGCUAGUUAUUCCUCCCUUGUCCAGACACCUAAAAGCCCUGGUCACAGGGCUCAGAACCACUCAUCUCUGUAGCAUCCCCACACCCUAGACAACGGUGCAAGUUCAGGGAAUUUUGUUGCCUGGAGGGUGUUUUCUGAAGAGAUCAGUGAUCCCUAUGCUGAGAAACUGCCAAGAAUUGCUCAGUUUUGGGAGCCCCUCAGAUGAACUGCCCAGCGUACACAUGCUGCCCCUCACCUCCUAGGUCCUGGUCUAUUUCAGAACCUCUCCCUGCACCAAAGUGUCUGCCAGAAAGGCAUUGUUAGGGGGGCUGAUGGCCACCUGAACGCUGCUUAAAAGGGGCAGAGCAGAAAGGUAAACGGGGCCAACCUUCCUGACUAUGCCCCUCGGCAUCUGACCACAGAGAGGACCAGCAGUGGCGCCAUUGCAUCUUGGGGAAGAAAGGUGGCAGCUUCAGCCACUGCUCCAGUUGGGUAAUGUUUCAAGAAGGCGACGUGAGCAGUUUCAAAAGUGGCAGUUGCUCUGUGGGCCUGCCCUCUUGGGGUAAGGCAGCUUCCGCUCAGGUUCAACUUCAGGUCUGGGUGGGGAGGAGCGGCGGGAGCUACAGAGCAGGAGGCUGUGGAGGAGGGGAUUGGGUGCCGGGAAAUGAGAAGCCAUUGGUACCGUGGGCUAGAGAGGGCUUAACUUAGGGAAGGGUGGGGGCCGGAAGAGGAGAGGUGGAAGGUGCUGGGUUCUCCCGGGCGUCCCAUGGGACAGGGGCUGAGGAAAGCCAGGGAUGCCAACAGCAGCUGUUUCUCAGCAGGUAGGCCAUUGGUAGAGGGACUGCCGUGGGUGCAUAAAGAGAAAGGCCACUUCGGGGUAGGGUCAGGGCCUGGGGUGGGAACAGGGUUUAGGCUCAGGUAAGACAAGGUUAGCUGGUUGUCAGGGAGAGGGAGCCAGUCAAAUAAGGUGUCUACGCCUGGUUAAAAAGGGGGGGCACCAAGUUGCCAGCUACUGAGGGGCUGGCCGACUGAAACUGGUUCCAGAAAGUGAUGUGAAAAACUGUAAGCUGGGGCCAUCCUCCUAGAAAGGACCUUCUAACCUGACUGGGAGUUGUACGCCCCGCGACCUGGGAGUCAACUUUAGACCUGGCAGUCAACCUUGGACCUGGGAACCAACUUGGAAUGUGGUCCCUUCUCAUUCAAGAACUAGCUAAUAUCACGGAAGGAAUAACGACCUUGUUGCCCAAACAAUGGAGUCCCACAAAUUGCAUACGUCCCCAAGCAUGUAAUCCCUACUUCCCCAUGUAAUCUUUGCCCUUCUUCUCAAGAUAAGCAGCUGGCUUAUGGAAGGGUGCAGAGCAGGUUUUUGUGGAUGACCCGCUGCUCUCCCAUACCGCUGGCAUUAUUGGAACAAACGUUCUUAUAUGAUUCAA